This 464-nucleotide ribosomal RNA is filed under the name Vreelandella stevensii. RNAcentral's name for it is "partial 16S ribosomal RNA". It matches the Rfam family "Bacterial small subunit ribosomal RNA", at positions 339 to 795 of the family's 1533-position model. Lineage: Bacteria; Pseudomonadati; Pseudomonadota; Gammaproteobacteria; Oceanospirillales; Halomonadaceae. The record is from RNAcentral.
CCACGGGUGGCAGCAGUGGGGAAUAUUGGACAAUGGGGGCAACCCUGAUCCAGCCAUGCCGCGUGUGUGAAGAAGGCCCUCGGGUUGUAAAGCACUUUCAGUGAGGAAGAACGCCUGGUGGUUAAUACCCAUCAGGAAAGACAUCACUCACAGAAGAAGCACCGGCUAACUCCGUGCCAGCAGCCGCGGUAAUACGGAGGGUGCGAGCGUUAAUCGGAAUUACUGGGCGUAAAGCGCGCGUAGGUGGCUUGAUAAGCCGGUUGUGAAAGCCCCGGGCUCAACCUGGGAACGGCAUCCGGAACUGUCAAGCUAGAGUGCAGGAGAGGAAGGUAGAAUUCCCGGUGUAGCGGUGAAAUGCGUAGAGAUCGGGAGGAAUACCAGUGGCGAAGGCGGCCUUCUGGACUGACACUGACACUGAGGUGCGAAAGCGUGGGUAGCAAACAGGAUUAGAUACCCCGGUAGUC